RNAcentral lists this long non-coding RNA (400 nucleotides) under Manihot esculenta (cassava). Its description in RNAcentral is "long non-coding RNA (MESC_LNC001383)". Lineage: Eukaryota; Viridiplantae; Streptophyta; Magnoliopsida; Malpighiales; Euphorbiaceae. The record is from RNAcentral.
UGGGGUAUGUUAAAUAUUUUCUGAGACUGGAGGUUGCACGCUCUGAAGCUAGUCUUUUCUUCACCAAAAGAAAUAUAUGUUAGAUAUCCUUCAAGGAAUAGGAUUUAUGCAUGCUAACACAUCUGACUUUCCUUUACCAUAAGGGCUAAACUCGAUAAUACAAUUGGACCGAUUUUGACAGACUCAAGCAGAUAUCGAAAGUUAAUAGGCAAGCUACUUUACCUCGGAGUUACCCUGCCGGAUAUUUCCUACGCAACACAGUACCUCAGUCAGUUCAUGCAGCAGCCACGACAACAACACUGGGAUGCAGCUCUCCAUGUACUUCGCUACUUGAAAGGCUAUCCAACACGAGGCCUAUUCUUUCCAACUUAAAGUAAUUUCAAGAUUCGAGCUUUCUCCG